Molecule: ribosomal RNA, 112 nt
Filed under: Fibrobacter sp.
Lineage: Bacteria; Pseudomonadati; Fibrobacterota; Fibrobacteria; Fibrobacterales; Fibrobacteraceae
Description: partial 16S ribosomal RNA
Rfam family: Bacterial small subunit ribosomal RNA (bases 13-112)
Source: RNAcentral
UUAAAUUCUUCUUUUACGGAGAGUUUGAUCCUGGCUCAGAACGAACGCUGGCGGCGUGCUUAAUACAUGCAAGUCGAACGUGAAGUGUAGCAAUACAUGGAAAGUGGCGAAC